This 715-nucleotide ribosomal RNA is filed under the name Staphylococcus equorum. RNAcentral's name for it is "bacterial SSU rRNA". It matches the Rfam family "Bacterial small subunit ribosomal RNA", at positions 57 to 754 of the family's 1533-position model. Lineage: Bacteria; Bacillati; Bacillota; Bacilli; Caryophanales; Staphylococcaceae. The record is from RNAcentral.
GCAAGUCGAGCGAACGGAUAAGGAGCUUGCUCCUUUGAAGUUAGCGGCGGACGGGUGAGUAACACGUGGGUAACCUACCUAUAAGACUGGAAUAACUUCGGGAAACCGGAGCUAAUGCCGGAUAACAUUUGGAACCGCAUGGUUCUAAAGUAAAAGAUGGUUUUGCUAUCACUUAUAGAUGGACCCGCGCCGUAUUAGCUAGUUGGUAAGGUAACGGCUUACCAAGGCAACGAUACGUAGCCGACCUGAGAGGGUGAUCGGCCACACUGGAACUGAGACACGGUCCAGACUCCUACGGGAGGCAGCAGUAGGGAAUCUUCCGCAAUGGACGAAAGUCUGACGGAGCAACGCCGCGUGAGUGAUGAAGGUUUUCGGAUCGUAAAACUCUGUUAUUAGGGAAGAACAAAUGCGUAAGUAACUGUGCGCAUCUUGACGGUACCUAAUCAGAAAGCCACGGCUAACUACGUGCCAGCAGCCGCGGUAAUACGUAGGUGGCAAGCGUUAUCCGGAAUUAUUGGGCGUAAAGCGCGCGUAGGCGGUUUCUUAAGUCUGAUGUGAAAGCCCACGGCUCAACCGUGGAGGGUCAUUGGAAACUGGGAAACUUGAGUACAGAAGAGGAAAGUGGAAUUCCAUGUGUAGCGGUGAAAUGCGCAGAGAUAUGGAGGAACACCAGUGGCGAAGGCGACUUUCUGGUCUGUAACUGACGCUGAUGUGC